UGAAGAUUAGAAUAUUCACUGAGUGGUUAAAGAAAGAAAUUCAAAAAUGAGGAAAUGAGUGACAAGAUAAAUGAAAGUAUAUAAAAAGCUUGUGAAAAGCCAAAUGAAGUUUCGAUUACUUAAAAACACACCUUAAGGAUAAAAGCUUAAACUUAAUUUAAAAAUGCUUCCAUCGUUGCAUUUUUGUAACUUUCAUUAUAUACUUCAAUGAUUGCAUCAUUUUGGGGAAUAACUCAAUAUGAUUUCUAGAUGAAAACUACGGUUUAAGAAAAAUAGAAUUACUUUGGAUACCUUGGUUGUUUGCUCCGAUACGCAUCUGAAACAUAUCAUUUUUUAUCCUAUAAAUGUACUGAAAUUAGUCUAAAUGAUGUGUUUUUCAAUGAUCUUGAUUGCAAAUAAAUGGUUCUAAAUAUAUGAUAUUAUUUUGAUAUUAAAAAGAUUUAUGGUGCUUCAUAUAUACAUUGCUGGAAAAAAAAACUAUGACUAAGAAAUUAAUAUUUUGAAUAUACACUCCUACAUAAUUAAAUGCUUCUAUCAUUAAAAAGAAAAGCUAUUUUUAAGAAGAGAGUUAAUGAUCCUAAAGCUUAGAAUAUUUCAACUCACUUCAAUAAUUCUUAUAGGAAAGAAAAUGUAAUUACUUUUGAAAGAAAUUUGAGCUUCAAAAGAAUUAUUUUCUGAUUAAUAUUUUCAUACAUAUUAAAAAAAAU
RNAcentral lists this long non-coding RNA (707 nucleotides) under Phoenix dactylifera (date palm). RNAcentral describes it as "long non-coding RNA (PDAC_LNC018711)". The record is from RNAcentral. Lineage: Eukaryota; Viridiplantae; Streptophyta; Magnoliopsida; Arecales; Arecaceae.